RNAcentral lists this ribosomal RNA (597 nucleotides) under Curvularia lunata. RNAcentral describes it as "eukaryotic LSU rRNA". The stretch from base 221 to 374 matches the Rfam family "5.8S ribosomal RNA". Lineage: Eukaryota; Fungi; Ascomycota; Dothideomycetes; Pleosporales; Pleosporaceae. The record is from RNAcentral.
UUCCGUAGGUGAACCUGCGGAGGGAUCAUUACACAAUAAAAUAUGAAGGCUGUACGCGGCUGUGCUCCGGGCCAGUUUUGCGGAGGCUGGAUUAUUUAUCACCCUUGUCUUUUGCGCACUUGUUGUUUCCUGGGCGAGUUCGCCCGCCACCAGGACCACACCAUAAACCUUUUUUAUGCAGUUGCAAUCAGCGUCAGUAUAACAAAUGUAAAUCAUUUACAACUUUCAACAACGGAUCUCUUGGUUCUGGCAUCGAUGAAGAACGCAGCGAAAUGCGAUACGUAGUGUGAAUUGCAGAAUUCAGUGAAUCAUCGAAUCUUUGAACGCACAUUGCGCCCUUUGGUAUUCCAAAGGGCAUGCCUGUUCGAGCGUCAUUUGUACCUUCAAGCUUUGCUUGGUGUUGGGCGUCUUUUGUCUUUGGCCCCCAAAGACUCGCCUUAAAACGAUUGGCAGCCGGCCUACUGGUUUCGCAGCGCAGCACAUUUUUGCGCUUGCAAUCAGCAAAAGAGGACGGCAAUCCAUCAAGACUCAUUUUUACGUUUGACCUCGGAUCAGGUACGGAUACCCGCUGAACUUAAGCAUAUCAAUAAGCGGAGG